Molecule: ribosomal RNA, 504 nt
Filed under: uncultured bacterium
Lineage: Bacteria
Description: partial 16S ribosomal RNA
Rfam family: Bacterial small subunit ribosomal RNA
Source: RNAcentral
AUUGAACGCUGGCGGCAUGCCUUACACAUGCAAGUCGAACGGCAGCAUGGAGAGCUUGCUCUCUGAUGGCGAGUGGCGAACGGGUGAGUAAUGCCUAGGAAUCUGCCCAUCAGCGGGGGACAACCCGGGGAAACCCGGGCUAAUACCGCAUACGCUCUACGGAGGAAAGCCGGGGACCGCAAGGCCUGGCACUGAUGGAUGAGCCCAAAUCGGAUUAGCUAGUUGGCGGGGUAACGGCCCACCAAGGCGACGAUCCGUAGCUGGUCUGAGAGGACGAUCAGCCACACCGGAACUGAGACACGGUCCGGACUCCUACGGGAGGCAGCAGUGGGGAAUAUUGGACAAUGGGGGAAACCCUGAUCCAGCGACGCCGCGUGGGUGAAGAAGGCCUGCGGGUUGUAAAGCCCUUUCGGUAGGGACGAAAGCUCUUGCUCUAAUAAUGCAAGAGGUUGACUUAACCUACAUAAGAAGCACCGGCUAACUCUGUGCCAGCAGCCGCCGUAA